Molecule: ribosomal RNA, 508 nt
Filed under: uncultured bacterium
Lineage: Bacteria
Description: partial 16S ribosomal RNA
Rfam family: Bacterial small subunit ribosomal RNA
Source: RNAcentral
AUUGAACGCUGGCGGCAUGCCUUACACAUGCAAGUCGAACGGCAGCGGGGGAGAAGCUUGCUUUUCCUGCCGGCGAGUGGCGAACGGGUGAGUAAUACAUCGGAACGUGCCCUGUAGUGGGGGAUAACUAGUCGAAACAUUAGCUAAUACCGCAUACGACCUGAGGGUGAAAGUGGGGGACCGCAAGGCCUCAUGCUAUAGGAGCGGCCGAUGUCUGAUUAGCUAGUUGGUGGGGUAAAGGCCUACCAAGGCGACGAUCAGUAGCUGGUCUGAGAGGACGAUCAGGCACACUGGGACUGAGACACGGCCCAGACUCCUACGGGAGGCAGCAGUGGGGAAUUUUGGACAAUGGGCGAAAGCCUGAUCCAGCAAUGCCGCGUGUGUGAAGAAGGCCUUCGGGUUGUAAAGCACUUUUGUCCGGAAAGAAAUGGCUCUGGUUAAUACCUGGGGUCGAUGACGGUACCGGAAGAAUAAGGACUGGCUAACUACGUGCCAGCAGCCGCGGUAA